CGGGAGUUCGACUCAGUAAUUUUCCUACUAUUGAAGAAUAAUAGUCACACAUCGAAUACAUUAAAGAGUACUCUUGUGAUGGUUAUAUACUCUAGAGCCCAUCCAUUUAAACAUUUGUUUUUUUAAAUAUAAUCUUAAUAUAGUAUCAUCGAUCCUUCUUCUCUAUCAAAACUACCAUGCUUCUACUUACUAAUCCGUAUGUAGAAAAUAUAGUUU
Molecule: long non-coding RNA, 216 nt
Filed under: Elaeis guineensis (African oil palm)
Lineage: Eukaryota; Viridiplantae; Streptophyta; Magnoliopsida; Arecales; Arecaceae
Description: long non-coding RNA (EGUI_LNC082615)
Source: RNAcentral